Homo sapiens (human) is the source of this 619-nucleotide long non-coding RNA. The record is from Ensembl. Lineage: Eukaryota; Metazoa; Chordata; Mammalia; Primates; Hominidae.
UGAAGGAUGUUAGAGCCUGGGAUGCUGAGGCAUGUACUGUGGGACAAUUAUAGCAAGUUGGUAAAUUCAGCUGACAGAUGAGAUGACAAGAUUACAAGCGCUUUUUGUCAUAAGUUCUUGAAAGAGAAAAAGUAAAUCGAAAAAUCUCAUUCAACAAAAAUAAGCAGAAUAUGACAGUUCUUAUAGUACUGUGCCCAAACAUUUCAGUGAUCUGUGCAUUCAGUAGAUGAGUCAAUGACAAACCCAACCUGGCAGCAUAAGGCUAAUAAUGAUGAGUUUUUAUUCAAGAGACAAUGGCCCAAGAACCAAAAUAAAGAAAAACAUUAAAAUCAAAAGAGGUAUUAACCUGGACGAGGACUCAGGGGACCUGCAUGUUUUGACCUAACUCUGCCAUUCACAAGCUAUAUGUCUUUGGCAAGUCACUUAGUUUCACUACUUCUGUGUCUCCCUGCUCAUAAAACGGAGAUUAUAAUUGCUAUAUGCACUUUCUGCCCCACAGGACUCCUAAGCUUAGAUGUAUAGGAAAAUGCUUUAGGAACCAUAAAAAUUAACUAAAUUCAUAAAUGAUGGUGAUAAUUACUGUGCUUAAUAAUAAAAUAUAACACCUAAUAACAACAAC